RNAcentral lists this ribosomal RNA (253 nucleotides) under uncultured bacterium. Its description in RNAcentral is "partial 16S ribosomal RNA". It matches the Rfam family "Bacterial small subunit ribosomal RNA", at positions 524 to 776 of the family's 1533-position model. The record is from RNAcentral.
UACGUAGGUGGCAAGCGAUACUCGGAAUCACUAGGCGUAAAGCGCAGGUAGGCGGCUUGAUAAGUCUUUUGUGAAAGCUCCUGGCUUAACUGGGAGAGGUCAAGGGAAACUGUCAGGCUAGAGUUUGGUAGGGGAUACUGGAAUUCCUGGUGUAGCGGUGAAAUGCGUAGAUAUCAGGAGGAAUACCUAUGGCGAAAGCAGGUAUCUGGGCCACAACUGACGCUGAGCUGCGAAAGCUAGGGGAGCAAACAGG